Molecule: ribosomal RNA, 100 nt
Filed under: uncultured bacterium
Lineage: Bacteria
Description: partial 16S ribosomal RNA
Rfam family: Bacterial small subunit ribosomal RNA
Source: RNAcentral
UACACACCGCCCGUCACACCACGAAAGUGGUCAUAACCAGAAGCAGGUGCGCCAACCGCGAAGGGGGCAGCCUACCAAGGUUGUGGCCGUGAUUGGGGUG